GACAACGCUGGCGGCGUGCUUAACACAUGCAAGUCGAACGGACCUUAUGGAAUAGGUAACUAGGAAAUAAGGUUAGUGGCGGACGGGUGAGUAACACGUGGAUAAUCUGCCUGACACACAGGGAUAACACUGUGAAAACGGUGCUAAUACCGGAUACGCUCUAUUGAUUGCAUAGUCGAUAGAGGAAAGGGGAACCCGGUGUCAGAUGAGUCCGCGGCUGAUUAGCUAGUUGGCAGGGUAACGGCCUACCAAGGCGACGAUCAGUAGCCGGCCUGAGAGGGUGAACGGCCACACUGGAACUGAGACACGGUCCAGACUCCUACGGGAGGCAGCAGUGGGGAAUCUUCCGCAAUGGGCGAAAGCCUGACGGAGCAACGCCGCGUGGGUGAAGAAGGCCUUCGGGUUGUAAAGCCCUGUCUUAUGGGAAGAAGAAAGUGACGGUACCAUAGGAGGAAGCCACGGCUAACUACGUG
RNAcentral lists this ribosomal RNA (473 nucleotides) under uncultured bacterium. RNAcentral's name for it is "bacterial SSU rRNA". It matches the Rfam family "Bacterial small subunit ribosomal RNA", at positions 32 to 507 of the family's 1533-position model. The record is from RNAcentral.